UCAAACGGAUUGAUCACUCUGGUUUUAAGAGAGAAAUCUCAUCUCAUCGGGAAAAAAUGGCAGGGAGAUUGAGCCACGCGGCGUCUAGGCCUAUGGGCGGAAACGACGUCGUUUCCCGCUGGUCACCGCUCCGGCAGGGGCGUUCCCGUCGGCAAACACUGUCCCCAACAAACCCCUUCCUGUAAACGACGAGCUGGUUUAGGACAAUGGGACUCCGUUUCCUGAACCCUGUAUAGAUCGUAUCCCCGAUACAAUCGGAAAGUAUAAAGCUUUGGCCCCUGUGUCGAGGUUUGGGCUUUUUUGCGUCUCUUGGAAUGUUGGCUGUGUGGAAUGACAAAGCCUCCAAAAUACCAUUUACUCCUAAGGUCUCUAUCUAUAUAACCUGCGAGUGGAGCUUGGAGGAGAAGCAUAGAUAUCUACUUGGUGGUUGUUGCAAGAUAACGCUGUUUCACAUUCUCUCGUCUAUUUGUUUGUUUUUUGAACGUUUGAAGCAGUAAGAAAUAAUUGUUUCAUCUUCACUGUUGCUAAUACUAACAGCUUCGAAAAAUAAAUGCAAUCAGAUUUGUCUAAAGACGUCAGAUACAACGGAGCACAAAUAAUAAAACGCCAUUUUAUACAUGGAUUUAUAUCUCAUCUCAUCCUCUGUAAGUGUCUUUUUUUUUGUCAAUAUGCCUUUCUUUGUUCUUAGGAUCUUUAUUUUCUGUUGUGGUUUAGGUCAUUUAUGGCAUUUGCAUUAGGGUAAUGUGGCUUCUAGGGGUAUGUAUGUAUAUACUGAUGCGAUGUCUUGAACUUAAUGUGCUAUUAAUUAACUGUAUGAAACUUUCUAAUGUACAGAGAGAAUGAAUACCCACAAAAUGUAGAGAGAGAGAGAGAGAGAGAGAGAGAGAGAGGUUCCAUCUAUAUUAUUAAUAAAGGGAUGGGUUCUUCAUUUGAGAUAACUGGGAAUUGUUCUUGAUAAAGCAUGAACUUUCUUGUUCCCAAACAAUAAAUAAUUGUAGACCCUCACUCUAUAAAACUACUAGGCCUUAAUGGCAAUAUGGUUUGUGCCACCUACUCACUACUCAGGAUGUGGGGAGAAAAUAUUCAAAGAUACACCAAACUUUUGAUAUUAAAUUGCAGAUAGUGACUUCGAAAUAAUGGAAAAAAAUAAAACCAAAUCCGUGUUAUAAUGAUUAAGAGGUCGAAUUUGUCAAAGAUUAUUCACGAGAGUAUAGUAUAAUGUGGUUAGAGUAAUGGGGACCAUCUGAAAUGGUAGUUAAAGUAGAUCAUCAUUUCAAUUAAAGCUAAUUCAAGAGAAGCAAACAAACUUCACAUGCAACACGGUAUUAGAUAUUAGUUGGUCACCCUUAGGAUUUAAGAAUGUACACUCGUGAGUCGUGACAUAUGUAUUCCAUAAUUUUUAAUUUUAUUUUUAUUCUUCUAAAGUUCAACUUCUUUUUAGAGAAGAGAGAUCAUACCAUCUGAGUUAAUGUCUAUUGAGCAUAAAUAAAUCUAUAAUUGAGGGAUGCAUGAUGAUUACAAAAUUAUUAGUAUAGAAGAUAAAUAUUAUUA
Long non-coding RNA from Cornus florida, 1551 nucleotides. RefSeq lists it as uncharacterized. The transcript is spliced from 5 exons. The record is from RefSeq and is a predicted model, not a curated record. NCBI's taxonomy places the organism in Eukaryota, Viridiplantae, Streptophyta, Magnoliopsida, Cornales, Cornaceae.